This 18-nucleotide small RNA is filed under the name Arabidopsis thaliana (thale cress). RNAcentral describes it as "AGO1_1806". Lineage: Eukaryota; Viridiplantae; Streptophyta; Magnoliopsida; Brassicales; Brassicaceae. The record is from RNAcentral.
UCCACGCUCACCGCACCA